Molecule: ribosomal RNA, 454 nt
Filed under: uncultured Oomycota
Lineage: Eukaryota; Oomycota
Description: LSU rRNA
Rfam family: Eukaryotic large subunit ribosomal RNA
Source: RNAcentral
GUGCGAGACCGAUAGCGAACAAGUACCGUGAGGAAAAGAUGAAAAGAACUUUGAAAAGAGAGUUAAAGAGUACCUGAAACUGCUGAAAGGGAACCGAAUCGUGUCCAGUGUCUAUAAUCCAUGGCAUAUUUCAUUGGCGAGUGAGUGCGUGCAGCGUUUUGGAAGUGGUUUUCCGCUCCUGUCGUUGUUGUGCAUUUGCUUGCUGGUGCCCUGUGCUGUGGUGGGACGUCAGAGUCAGUUUGUAUGUUGCGGGAAAUGGUUAUUGGGGAGGUAGGUCACUUCGGUGGCUGUUAUAUCCUGGUAACUAGUCGUCGUGGCUGAGACUGAGGUGCCUACAAUGUGCUUUCGAGUGUGCGGGAUUCUCGUGUGGCUGUUUGCUUUGAUAGCUUGCUAUGUUGGUGAAUAAGUCGUGCGAUUGAGACUUGUAUUAACUUGUUGCUGUUCGGGACUUUGA